GACAGAGGGUGCAAACGUUGUUCGGAGUUACUGGGCGUAAAGCGUGUGUAGGCGGUCCGCUAAGUCGGGUGUGAAAGCCCUGGGCUCAACCCAGGAAGUGCACUCGAAACUGGCGGGCUAGAGUACUGGAGAGGUUGGUGGAAUUCUCGGUGUAGAGGUGAAAUUCGUAGAUAUCGAGAGGAACACCGGUGGCGAAGGCGGCCAACUGGACAGAUACUGACGCUGAGACACGAAAGCGUGGGGAGCAAACAGG
Molecule: ribosomal RNA, 253 nt
Filed under: uncultured bacterium
Lineage: Bacteria
Description: partial 16S ribosomal RNA
Rfam family: Bacterial small subunit ribosomal RNA
Source: RNAcentral